Molecule: ribosomal RNA, 305 nt
Filed under: uncultured bacterium
Lineage: Bacteria
Description: bacterial SSU rRNA
Rfam family: Bacterial small subunit ribosomal RNA
Source: RNAcentral
UGGCUCCUACGGGGGGCAGCAGUGGGGGAUAUUGCACAAUGGGGGAAACCCUGAUGCAGCGACGCCGCGUGGGUGAAGAAGUAUUUCGGUAUGUAAAGCCCUAUCAGCAGGGAAGAAAGAAGACGGUACCUGACUAAGAAGCCCCGGCUAACUACGUGCCAGCAGCCGCGGUAAUACGUAGGGGGCGAGCGUUAUCCGGAUUCACUGGGUGUAAAGGGAGCGUAGACGGCCGUGCAAGCCAGGAGUGAAAGCCCGGGGCCCAACCCCGGGGCUGCUCUUGGAACUGAGCGGCUAGAGGGCGGGAG